AGUGAACGCUGGCGGUAGGCCUAACACAUGCAAGUCGAACGGCAGCACAGUAAGAGCUUGCUCUUACGGGUGGCGAGUGGCGGACGGGUGAGGAAUACAUCGUAAUCUACUUUUUCGGGGGGGAUAACGUAGGGAAACUUACGCUAAUACCGCAUACGACCUACGGGUGAAAGCAUGGGAUCUUCGGACCUUGCGCGAUUGAAUGAGCCGAUGUCGGAUUAGCUAGUUGGCGGGGUAAAGGCCCACCAAGGCGACGAUCCGUAGCUGGUCUGAGAGGAUGAUAAGCCACACUGGAACUGAGACACGGUCCAGACUCCUACGGGAGGCAGCAGUGGGGAAUAUUGGACAAUGGGCGCAAGCCUGAUCCAGCCAUACCGCGUGGGUGAAGAAGGCCUUCGGGUUGUAAAGCCCUUUUGUUGGGAAAGAAAGGCAGCAGGUUAAUACCCAGCUGUUCUGACGGUACCCAAAGAAUAAGCACCGGCUAACUUCGUG
This 492-nucleotide ribosomal RNA is filed under the name uncultured bacterium. RNAcentral's name for it is "partial 16S ribosomal RNA". It matches the Rfam family "Bacterial small subunit ribosomal RNA", at positions 29 to 507 of the family's 1533-position model. The record is from RNAcentral.